This 484-nucleotide ribosomal RNA is filed under the name uncultured bacterium. RNAcentral describes it as "partial 16S ribosomal RNA". It matches the Rfam family "Bacterial small subunit ribosomal RNA", at positions 30 to 507 of the family's 1533-position model. The record is from RNAcentral.
AUUGAACGCUGGCGGCAGGCCUAACACAUGCAAGUCGAGCGGAUGAAGGGAGCUUGCUCCUGGAUUCAGCGGCGGACGGGUGAGUAAUGCCUAGGAAUCUGCCUGGUAGUGGGGGAUAACGUCCGGAAACGGGCGCUAAUACCGCAUACGUCCUGAGGGAGAAAGUGGGGGAUCUUCGGACCUCACGCUAUCAGAUGAGCCUAGGUCGGAUUAGCUAGUUGGUGGGGUAAAGGCCUACCAAGGCGACGAUCCGUAACUGGUCUGAGAGGAUGAUCAGUCACACUGGAACUGUGACACGGUCCAGACUCCUACGGGAGGCAGCAGUGGGGAAUAUUGGACAAUGGGCGGAAGCCUGAUCCAGCCAUGCCGCGUGUGUGAAGAAGGUCUUCGGAUUGUAAAGCACUUUAAGUUGGGAGGAAGGGCAGUAAGUUAAUACCUUGCUGUUUUGACGUUACCAACAGAAUAAGCACCGGCUAACUUCGUG